RNAcentral lists this ribosomal RNA (484 nucleotides) under uncultured bacterium. RNAcentral's name for it is "partial 16S ribosomal RNA". It matches the Rfam family "Bacterial small subunit ribosomal RNA", at positions 30 to 507 of the family's 1533-position model. The record is from RNAcentral.
AUUGAACGCUGGCGGCAGGCCUAACACGUGCCAGUCGAGCGGAUGAAGGGAGCUUGCUCCUGGAUUCAGCGGCGGACGGGUGAGUAAUGCCUAGGAAUCUGCCUGGUAGUGGGGGAUAACGUCCGGAAACGGGCGCUAAUACCGCAUACGUCCUGAGGGAGAAAGUGGGGGAUCUUCGGACCUCACGCUAUCAGAUGAGCCUAGGUCGGAUUAGCUAGUUGGUGGGGUAAAGGCCUACCAAGGCGACGAUCCGUAACUGGUCUGAGAGGAUGAUCGGUCACACUGGAACUGAGACACGGUCCAGACUCCUACGGGAGGCAGCAGUGGGGAAUAUUGGACAAUGGGCGAAAGCCUGAUCCAGCCAUGCCGCGUGUGUGAAGAAGGUCUUCGGAUUGUAAAGCACUUUAAGUUGGGAGGAAGGGCAGUAAGUUAAUACCUUGCUGUUUUGACGUUACCAACAGAAUAAGCACCGGCUAACUUCGUG